AGCGCUGUUUCUGAUCCUUGUUGGAGGUUCGAGUGGGACAUAUUCCUCAGUUUCCAAAGAGACAGAAGCCACAGUUUCACGAAUCGUCUCUAUGUAGCGCUCAUCAAGGCACAGGUCCAGGUAUGGAAGGGUGACGUGGAACGCAAGAAUCAGGAGCUCGGUCCCAGUCUCGUGGAGGCUAUGGAGGAUUCAGUGUCUUUUGUCGCUGUCUUAUCCCCUGGCUAUGACAAGUCUUACUGGUGCCUUGAAGAAUUAGCCAAGCUCUGUGAUCUGAGAUCAUCGCUAGCUCGUCCUUUAUUACCAAUCUUUUACGAGGUAUACACACAAUUGUUGGCAUGUUGCUCUCUGUUACUUGGAACUUGGAAGGAGGGUCACCAAUGAGUAAAGUAGAGGAGAUCUAUGAUAAUCACAUCUGGAAAGAGUUGGAAAACGACACGCUGUUCCUCCCGAAGUAUAUCUCAAUGCUAUCGGUUUGUUAUUGCGUUUGGAUGUAAGAGGUGCUCUCAAAGGUUUUGAGACCGCCUCAAACUCCUUACAGCUCGUUGACUGAUCAGGUUAGCCAUGCACUAUUUAUAUACUGUAUUGAAUGAUCAGUUGGUUUUUUUGACUUUUAACAUCUUAGGGAAACUGGUAUUUGUCGUGGCACCUUGACAUAUUGAUAGUUUGAUAGAUCCCGAGAGUGUUUAACAAUGAAUGAGCAAACAAAAGCUGUCACCGAGGCAUUUGUGAGGUUACACAAGGAAGGGCUUAUAUAUGAAGAGAUUGGUUUGUUCAUUGUUGCUGUUAAUUUCUCAGAAACAGCCUUGUCUGAUCGUAAGGUUGAUCACAUUGACAUUAAAAGAAGAACACCAACGAAAGUACCGGGUGUGAUACGUAAUAUGUGAUCUUUAUGUUCUAGCUUAACAGAUUGAUAUUCAAUAUUGCUAUAUGGACACAAUCUGCAAUUCUAUUAUCAUGCAUGGCUCCAUUGUGACAGUAAACAGCCCUUUUUCUAUUGGUAGGUUUGUUAUUACACAAUCAUGAAUGAGAA
Long non-coding RNA from Raphanus sativus (radish), 1030 nucleotides. RefSeq lists it as uncharacterized. NCBI's taxonomy places the organism in Eukaryota, Viridiplantae, Streptophyta, Magnoliopsida, Brassicales, Brassicaceae. The record is from RefSeq and is a predicted model, not a curated record. The transcript has 3 exons.